Bos taurus (domestic cattle) is the source of this 626-nucleotide long non-coding RNA. The record is from Ensembl. NCBI's taxonomy places the organism in Eukaryota, Metazoa, Chordata, Mammalia, Artiodactyla, Bovidae.
CAUGGACUGUAGCCUGCCAGGCUCCUCUGUCCAUAGCAUUCUCCAGGCAAGAAUACUGGAGUGGGUUGCCAUUUCCUCCUCCGGGGAUCUGCCCAACCCAGGGACUGAACCCAGGUCUUCUGCAUUGGCAGGCAGAUUCUUUACCACUGAGCCACCUGGGAAGCCCAGCUGUGAUGUCUGGCUCUGUUUUUCACCCUCUCCUCUUGGUUAUGCUGUUUCCCCAGACCCUUUAUAAAGACAGUUACCCCACAGAAGUUGUAUGCGUUAAGCCAGGAAUUCUCAGCCUAUGGUCCUGUUCAUCCUAAUGAAGAUGCAUCGUUGGCACUUGCCUCCCGCAUGGCUGGGAAAGAGCAGUGCAACCAAAAGGCCCCAUCCAGAUGGAGGAGCUCAGUAGAACAUCUGCCUUGCAUGUCUGUCACCUCCCUACCUCCUGCUGCUGUGUUAGCUGCCAGCCAUUAUAGCAGCUCCUGAGUCAAGGGCCCUCCUCUUGUAGUGUUUUCUUGGAGCUUUGACAGAUUAUCUACACUGUCAUUCCCAACAGCAUCGUGCCAUCUUUCUUAAAACUGCAGGAAGAUCCUGAUGGAAAUCUCAGUCCUUUUAAAAAAAAAAAAAAAAACCCUCCAAAA